This is a long non-coding RNA of Chelonia mydas (Green sea turtle), 5430 nucleotides long. RefSeq lists it as uncharacterized. The record is from RefSeq and is a predicted model, not a curated record. Lineage: Eukaryota; Metazoa; Chordata; Testudines; Cheloniidae. The transcript has 2 exons.
CUAUUUGAAAGGGGUCACCAGUACAGUACAAAAGUUUGAGAACCACUGAUAUAACUGAUUUUUUGGUCAGGGAAAGGUUUCACAUUAUCUACCUUUGCCUGUUUAUUGACCUGAAAAAGGCUUUUGGGAACAAGUCAGUGUAAGGCUAUGAAGGAGAAUGAGGAUGUGUACCUUCAGCCUCACUGUAGGAGUGAGUCAGGUGGGUAUGUAUUGUGACACAAAAGGGUCCACAUGGCUAGCAACAAGUAAUCAAGAGUCAGAGGUGGGAGGAAAUGGAGAGAGGAAAGAGGGAGCCAGAAAAAAGCGGAACAGGAGGGAAGAGCCCGAGUGGACAUUAUGGAGAUGAACGGAGGAACUCAGGAGAGGUGUAUGGAGCGAGAAGGGGGAGCUUGGGAGGAGGUCAUGCAGCAGGCUGGGGGAACCCGAGGCAGAUCAUGGAGCUGGAUGGAAGAUUCCAGGAGGAAAUCACAGAGCAGGCUAUGGGAGCCCCAGGGAAGAUCAUGGAGCUGGAUGGAAGAGCCUGGGAGGAAGUCACAGAGCAAGCUGCGGCAGCCCGAGGGAAGAUCAUGGAGUUGAGUGGAAGAGCCCAGGCAGAGGUCACGGAGCAGGCUGGAGGAGCCCAAGAGAAGAUCAUGGAGCUGGAUGGAAGAGCCUAAGAAGUGGUCACAGAGCAGACUGUGGGAGCCCAAGGGAAGAUCAUGGAGUUGGAUGGAAGAGCCUGAAUAGAGGUCAUGGAGCAGGCUGGAGGAGACAAAGGGAAGAUGAUGGAGCUGGCUGUAGGAGCCCAGGCAGAGGUCACGGAGCAGGCUCGGGAAGGCCAGGAAGUGGGCAUGAAGCUGGUGAAGGACCUGUUGGCAGUGGUUGCCACUUCUGCUCUUCCCCAAGAUGAGAAGACAGAAUUGGAGUUUGACACCCUGCAGUUUAUGAUGGGGGGUAAUGUACACGUGGUCGGGCAAUUGCAGAGCCAACACACAGUGGAAGAGUUUCAACAGGAAGUGUUUGCUAAGUUCCCCAUACCAGCAUUCCGUGUGACUAGCACAGUGGCCUGUAAUCAAGUGACCAGCCGCAGGGCUGAGAGAGGCCUCUCACUCCAUGAAUUCGGCUGCUCCAGGCACCAGGACAGAAUCUACUCACAGCUUAUCUUCUUCCUGUGCAGAGCCGCCUCCUUGACACGCUGGGCUGGGCUAGACCGAUUGCUGGAGAUGCUACAGCAGCUGAAGAGAUGUAUCUAAUUCCAGUGGCCCUGGUUGGGGUGAUUGUGCAAGCAGACCCAGACCCAGAGCUGGAUCUAGAGCAGGAGGUGAAGGCACUGCGGUGGCUGAAGUGCCUGCUGGAUGGAGUCUUCUGUUGUGAUUUGUUGCCAGGCCAUGAGGGGACAGAGCAAGAGAUGCAGGUUCAGGUGGCUGUCUACCAGUCAGGCUGGCCUCAGCGGGCUCUAGAGGUUAAGAGAGCAGCCUGCCAGGCAAUACGAGCGGCCCUGAAGUUCUGAACAGGCAACAUGUGAGGGUGCAUCAGUAUUACAAUGGCUUCUGUAUUACGACUGAAAAGCUCAAUUAUCACUGGAAAAUCAAUUCCAAUUUUGUCCCAGUUAUCUGUGUGCAUUUUUAAUUUUGAAAACACUUAUUGCUUAAUAUUUGUUGCAAAACAAAACCACUUUAGAUAUCUGCAUUGUGACAUCACAUAAAUAUCUAAUGUUAAUUAAACAGGUGACUGAACUUCAGAGCCAAAGUGUGCUAUAGCAAAAUAUGGAAGCUGGAUGGCUCAAUGAACGUUGUGUUUUGAAUUAUAGCUACUAAGCAGUGACAUUUGGAAGAUUUCCAAGUACCAUAGCUUUCUCCUGGCCUGUAAAUUGUGGAAUGAGCCCAGUUUGCAACAUUUAUAGCUUAGAUGAGUUUUUUUCACCCCAGCACUAUCCCUAUAUUUGUUGGACUUGUCUUUGCAACUGAAAUGGAUUGUAGACUCAUAUGAUCAUUUUCACUUCUUUAGGAUACAGGCCCCAUGUUUCAAAAAAGCUUUAUUCCAUUCUUGUCUGCUUGAUUUUUAUACAUAGAAAUUUCCUGAGGUGAUGAAAAUACCAAAAGCAUAAAUGAAUGGAAUAUUUUCUUUUUUUGGUUCAAUUUUUAUUGGGAAUCCUCUAUUAAAAGCAGCCAUACUGGUCAGACCAAUGGUCCAUCUAGCCUAGUAUCUUGUCUUUCAACAAGCUGCUUCAUAGGGAAUUAAAAGGGAAAUUAUAGAGUAAUCCAUCCUGUCAUUCUCUCCAAGCUUCUGGCAGUUAGAGGCUAGGGAUGCCCAGAGCAUGGGGUUGUAUCCCUGUCCAUCUUGGCUAAUAGCCAUUGAUGGACUUAUCUGUCCAUCCUCUAUAUUACACUGGGGAAGUAGCUAGGACUUACCAUUAUAGCAGGAUCAUAGCUCCUCCAGGAGCUAAGAAAGUGGGGGCUGUCAUACUAAUAAUGAUUAACCCUUUACUAAAAUAUUAAUCAUUUACUAACAAUUUAUAAAUGGAACCUUACUCUGAAGUAUGACCACUAUUUGUAUUCCAGUAGUCCCUAGAGGGGCUAAUCAAAAUGGGCAUCAUUGUGCCAGGCAUUGCGAGAUUAAAGUACUUUAUGGAUUUCUGUUUUAAAGCUUUAGCUUGCUUCUCGUGAGCAGAAGCUACAGCUGAUGAAGGACAACCUCUGUUAUGGAAGAUGUCAGUCUAUUUGGUGGUCACUGAAUACCCAAUGGCACUUUUAACAAGAGACAGGAUGUUAACUAUGGGAUCCAGGCCAAAUCCUUAUUCUGAUAAGUGCAUUUUAACUAUCUACAUUCCAGCAACUGAAUAGGAUAUUCUGCACCUCUUCUUCUCAAAUAUCAUGCAUAGUCACUCUAGGGUGAGAAACAGCUGCCUAGUUUCAACCCACAGGUGGCUGUAUAUGGAUUUAAGUGUUCCAUAUUUUAGCCACAUGAUAGGGUGGGUUAAGUAAUUCAUGUAUUUUAAAAGUUGCAUAAUUUAUGCAUUUGGUUGAGAUCUUCAAAGACACUCAGGGGAUUUGGACUCACUGGUCCUAUUAAAAUUAAUAGGAAUUGAAUAUCUAAAUCCCUUAUGCAUCUUUGAAAAAAAUCUCAUUUAACUCAAGGUAGCCUUCUCUCUCUGCAAGGCCACAAAAGGGUCCUGGCCAACAGAACUGCUUUUCAUUGGGCAUGGCCAGGGCUGUAUGUGCAGGGGGAUACUCAUUCUCUAUAGAGCUCAGUUCUACCUGAGCUCUGAGAACAAGAAAAAAAGGUGAAGCUAGGCUGAGCGCAUCAUAUGAUAAUGCCCUCCCCCCAAAAAAAUCAAUCACUGAGAGAGUUGCUGUCUUCCAACUCUGAACAAGGAACUAGGGAGGAAAAAAGAAAGCAGUAAUACUGCUAAAGCUAUUCUGGGACUUCCCCAGCCCUCCCUUCAUGUCUAGCUUCCUGCUGUAGGUUAAAGAAAAUAAUACAUAAUCUCACAUUUUGGACCUCUUAUUUUUCUUUACAAGAUGUUUUAAACAAAUUAAACAGCAAAUUAUAUAUCCAGAUGGGUCACUGGGUUCACCACUUGUUAAGGUCUGGUCAUCAUGUGACCUGGAGUAGGGUCUUGUCCAGUUGUUUCACUUAGAUCAUCAAAUUCCUCAGAAUUUAGAUUACCGUUCAAUAGGUUUAACAUUUUAACAGGAAUAUCUCCCUUCACGAAGGCCAUGAUGUGAGCACUUUGCUACUAGGGUCAUGCAGCAACUCAAACAAGCAUGGAGAUAGAAAACAAGUAGCACUGUCAGCUUUGUACAGAAUCCCUUGAUGAGCCUGAACCUUGUUAUAGAUUAGGCUGUGAUCUCCCCUCAACCCUCCCCAUCCUUUUUUUAAAAUUCUUUUGAUAGAUCUCCCUUUGAAAUAUAACACACCUGCUAUCGCUGCAAAGAAAAGGCUUACUUUACAAAAAAUGAAACUCUACCUUUACAAGAGUCAUCAGUAGGACUGGAGCCUUUCUGAAUUCCACUGAGCCUAAGGAGCCUUUCUGAUGUUCUUACUUCAUCAGUGAAUAAGUUCUCAAAUUUGCUUUUCCCAUUCUCAGAAUUGGUCUUGCAGACAUCACCAAGACCUUUCAAAUAAGCCUCACAUGAUGUUGCUACAACAUUCCUUUUAAGUGGCAGUUGUAGUGAAGAAUUAGGAGAAUUUUCAGAACAUAAUCAACACCUAAACAUCUAAAGCCCUCUCAGAAACGGUUUGGUUGAAACACCUCAAAUUUGGGCAAACGUCUGUCCUCUUGUCACAGACAACACAUAUAUUUAAAGUACAAGUGACCUAUUUUGAGGAUAAAAAUCAGACAUAAAUGGGAAUCAAGUCUCAACUUUAACUAUGGAGCGGCUAUUGUCUCUUCCUAAAUCCAAGCACAAUGCAAUUCUUAUUUCUAAAAAAAAAAUUUUUUUUUUGGAUGAACAGGUGUACACAUUUUCUCUGUAGCUCCUUUCUUCUUACUGUUUGGAAUGCAUCAGAUGAAACCCAAAAUGUGCUCUAAAUCCACAGAAAUUCCUUCAGUUCUAGAGCACUAACUCUUCCAUGAAUAUGCAUGUUUCAGAGUACAAAACUGUACCAACCAUAUUAUUUUAAAUUUACUUUUUAGUAUAUACAUUAACACUCAAAAAUGUGAUGAAACACAAAUACACAUCAUGAUGAGAUACAGACUGCAAAGUUAAAUAAAAAGCAGACUUUUUACAGUUUCCGAUGAACAUAAACUACAAUAAGUGCAUAGGCCAAAUAUUUCCUAUUUGAGUAGCACAGCAAAAAGGAAAAAAAAUGAACAUUUUAAAAUGAUACUGCAAGACUAUAUUCUCAAUACAACAACACAUGCAUCUUGCUGUGUCUUAAAUACUCUUUUGGCCCAAUACUAAAAUCCCCCCUUCCCCCCCCAGGUUGAACAAUGUAUUAUACCACAGAACCUUUAUCCAUAGAAUGACAAACUAAUUACAGGGCAAUAUUUUUUCUCUAGCUAAUAGUUAUUUCAAAGGAUAGGAAUUGUCUCCAUUUUAAGAGAUUUCAAGUAAAUACUUGGGGGUAUCCAUGUUCUCCUCUUGAUGCAGGCACAAUUUCCAUUAGUUUUAAGGGAAUAACAUGUGGGAACCAAGAGCAGAAUACACUCUCUUGGGCUCUAUUCAUCCAAAAUUCUUGCAGCUGUGAGUACCAGUUAUGAGGACAACAUGAAAUCUACUUUCAAAAUUCCAAGCACAAGAGUCUUGGAAGUCAGUUUGUGGUCAAGUGUUCCAUUCUUUACCAAAUAUGGAGGCAUAGAAUUCUUCCCCCUGUUGAUGGGCACAUAGGAAAUAUCGACCUCUUAAGUCAGUGGACUUUGACAGUCGUGCUCUGGAUAUUGACUUAUCACUAGUAGGAAGGGGAAACUUUACAAGAAAUUAAAGCAGUUUUGAGACCAUGGUGGCC